Molecule: ribosomal RNA, 429 nt
Filed under: bacterium
Lineage: Bacteria
Description: partial 16S ribosomal RNA
Rfam family: Bacterial small subunit ribosomal RNA
Source: RNAcentral
UAGGGAAUCUUCGGCAAUGGGGGCAACCCUGACCGAGCAACGCCGCGUGAGUGAAGAAGGUUUUCGGAUCGUAAAGCUCUGUUGUAAGAGAAGAACGUGUGUGAGAGUGGAAAGUUCACACAGUGACGGUAACUUACCAGAAAGGGACGGCUAACUACGUGCCAGCAGCCGCGGUAAUACGUAGGUCCCGAGCGUUGUCCGGAUUUAUUGGGCGUAAAGCGAGCGCAGGCGGUUUAAUAAGUCUGAAGUUAAAGGCAGUGGCUUAACCAUUGUUCGCUUUGGAAACUGUUAAACUUGAGUGCAGAAGGGGAGAGUGGAAUUCCAUGUGUAGCGGUGAAAUGCGUAGAUAUAUGGAGGAACACCGGUGGCGAAAGCAGCUCUCUGGUCUGUAACUGACGCUGAGGCUCGAAAGCGUGGGGAGCAAACAGG